GGCCGGUUGGCCCAAUGGCAAGGCGUCUGACUACGAUUCAUCGUGAAAUCAGGAGAUUCUGGGUUCGACCCCCAGGCUGGUCA
RNAcentral lists this transfer RNA (83 nucleotides) under Colletotrichum asianum. It matches the Rfam family "tRNA". From Rfam's summary of the family: Transfer RNA (tRNA) molecules are approximately 80 nucleotides in length. Their secondary structure includes four short double-helical elements and three loops (D, anti-codon, and T loops). Further hydrogen bonds mediate the characteristic L-shaped molecular structure. tRNAs have two regions of fundamental functional importance: the anti-codon, which is responsible for specific mRNA codon recognition, and the 3' end, to which the tRNAs corresponding amino acid is attached (by aminoacyl-tRNA synthetases). tRNAs cope with the degeneracy of the genetic code in two manners: having more than one tRNA (with a specific anti-codon) for a particular amino acid; and 'wobble' base-pairing, i.e. permitting non-standard base-pairing at the 3rd anti-codon position. RNAcentral also lists the same sequence under 12 other names. Lineage: Eukaryota; Fungi; Ascomycota; Sordariomycetes; Glomerellales; Glomerellaceae. The record is from Rfam by way of RNAcentral.